RNAcentral lists this long non-coding RNA (483 nucleotides) under Helianthus annuus (common sunflower). Lineage: Eukaryota; Viridiplantae; Streptophyta; Magnoliopsida; Asterales; Asteraceae. The record is from RNAcentral.
AUGGCUAAAGUUAGAUAUUUUGGCAAUUCAAAUUUCCACGGUCGUAUCUGAAUCGGCGUUUAGCACCGACGGUCGUGUACUAGAUGCUUAUUGAGCAAGGUUGUCAACUAAAAUCGUUGAAGCUUUGAUUUGUACCCAAGAUUGGUGAGAAAGUCAAGAAAACCAAUUGUGGAUGACAUAAUAUAUUAAAGGAUGACGACAUUGCCAUAGAGAUUGAAGAUGCGAUUCAAAAACAAUGACAAAGGGAAAGAGAUGGUGCAUAACAAGGCUUAAGCAAACUCAAGGAAAUAGAGUUUGAGUGCGGUUAAAUGGUUAUACUUUUGCUCACAUGGAGUUAGACUUUUGUUUUGUUCUUAUUUGACCUAAGUGUCUUUUAACUCUCCUGAUGUGAGGUCAAGUUUUUGUGUAUGAGAUGGGUUUGUGCUUGAAACAUUCGUAACAAAUUAUGUGUUUUGAUACGAACCAUUUCCUACUGGAAUAUUU